This 432-nucleotide ribosomal RNA is filed under the name uncultured bacterium. Its description in RNAcentral is "partial 16S ribosomal RNA". It matches the Rfam family "Bacterial small subunit ribosomal RNA", at positions 28 to 507 of the family's 1533-position model. The record is from RNAcentral.
GAUGAACGCUGGCGGUAUGCUUAACACAUGCCAGUCGAACGGUCACUUCGGUGAUAGUGGCGGACGGGUGAGUAACGCGUGAGAAUCUGUCUUCAGGUCGGGGACAACAGUUAGAAAUGACUGCUAAUACCGGACGUGCCUUUGGGUGAAAGAUUUAUUGCCUGAAAAAGAGCUCGCGUCAGAUUAGCUAGUAGGUGGUGUAAGAGACUACCUAGGCUCCGAUCUGUAGCUGGUCUGAGAGGACGAUCAGCCACACUGGAACUGAGACACGGUCCAGACUCCUACGGGAGGCAGCAGUGGGGAAUUUUCCGCAAUGGGCGAAAGCCUGACGGAGCAAUACCGCGUGAGGGACGAAGGCUUUUGGGUCGUAAACCUCUUUUCUCAAGGAAGAUGAUGACGGUACUUGAGGAAUAAGCAUCGGCUAACUCUGUG